AGAGUGAACGCUGGCGGCGUGGAUUAGGCAUGCAAGUCGAGCGAUCCCUUGUAAAUGAUGUGGAGGUGCUUGCACCAAAGCUGAUUUUACUUUUGGGGAUAGCGGCAAACGGGUGAGGAACACGUGAGAAAUUUUCCUUAGAGACGAACAUAGCUUCGUGAAAACGGAGGUAAUAUUCGAUACGGCCUUAGAGUCACAUGAUUCUUUGGUUAAAGGUGGGGACCUUCGGGCCUGCCGCUUUAGGAUGAUCUCGCGGCCUAUCAGCUUGUUGGUGGGGUAACGGCCUACCAAGGCAUUUGACGGGUAGCUGGUCUGAGAGGAUGGUCAGCCACACUGGGACUGAGACACUGCCCAGACUCCUACGGGAGGCUGCAGUCGAGAAUCUUUAGCAAUGGACGAAAGUCUGACUAUGCGACGCCGCGUGCAGGAUGAAGGAUUUCGGUUCGUAAACUGCUUUUGUCAGGAAAGAAAAUUUCAGUGUUAAUAGUGCUGAAACUGACGGUACCUGACGAAUAAGCCACGGCCAACUCCGUGCCAGCAGCCGCGGUAAUACGGGGGUGGCAAGCGUUACUCGGAAUUAUUGGGUGUAAAGGGUAAGUAGGCGGUCUAUUAAGUGAGGGGUGAAAUCUUCCGACUCAAUCGGAAAAUUGCCUUUCAAACUAAUAGACUUGAGACUGGAAGAGGGAAAUGGAAUUAGCAGUGUAAGGGUGAAAUCUGUAGAUAUUGCUAAGAACACCAGCGGCGAAGGCGGUUUCCUGGUCCAAGUCUGACGCUAAAUUACGAAAGCUAGGGGAGCAAACAGAAUUAGAUACUCUGGUAGUCCUAGCUGUAAACGAUGAGCACUAGGUGUUGGUCCUUCGGGAUCAGUGCCGCAGCUAACGCAUUAAGUGCUCCACCUGGGGACUACGGCCGCAAGGCUA
RNAcentral lists this ribosomal RNA (920 nucleotides) under uncultured bacterium. Its description in RNAcentral is "bacterial SSU rRNA". It matches the Rfam family "Bacterial small subunit ribosomal RNA", at positions 26 to 896 of the family's 1533-position model. The record is from RNAcentral.